This 459-nucleotide ribosomal RNA is filed under the name uncultured bacterium. RNAcentral's name for it is "partial 16S ribosomal RNA". It matches the Rfam family "Bacterial small subunit ribosomal RNA", at positions 339 to 795 of the family's 1533-position model. The record is from RNAcentral.
CUACGGGACGCUGCAGUAAGGAAUAUUGCGCAAUGGAGGCAACUCUGACGCAGCCAUGCCGCGUGCAGGAAGAAGGCCUUAUGGGUCGUAAACUGCUUUUAUUUAGGAAUAAACCCCCGAACGUGUUCGGGGCUGAAGGUACUAAACGAAUAAGCACCGGCUAACUCCGUGCCAGCAGCCGCGGUAAUACGGAGGGUGCAAGCGUUAUCCGGAUUUAUUGGGUUUAAAGGAUGCGCAGGCGGGCUAUUAAGUCAGUGGUGAAAUCCCGGGGCUCAACUCCGGAACUGCCAUUGAUACUGAUAGUCUUGAGUUUGGUUGAUGUGGGCGGAAUGUAGCAUGUAGCGGUGAAAUGCAUAGAUAUGCUACAGAACACCAAUCGCGAAGGCAGCUCACUAAGCCAAAACUGACGCUCAUGCACGAAAGCGUGGGGAUCAAACAGGAUUAGAUACCCGUGUAGUC